This 526-nucleotide ribosomal RNA is filed under the name uncultured bacterium. RNAcentral's name for it is "bacterial SSU rRNA". It matches the Rfam family "Bacterial small subunit ribosomal RNA", at positions 504 to 1028 of the family's 1533-position model. The record is from RNAcentral.
CGUGCCAGCAGCCGCGGUAAGACGGAGGAUGCAAGUGUUAUCCGGAAUCACUGGGCGUAAAGCGUCUGUAGGUGGCUUAAUAAGUCAACUGUUAAAUCUUGAAGCUCAACUUCAAAAUCGCAGUCGAAACUAUUAGACUAGAGUAUAGUAGAGGUAAAGGGAAUUUCCAGUGGAGCGGUGAAAUGCGUAGAGAUUGGAAAGAACACCGAUGGCGAAGGCACUUUACUGGGCUAUUACUGACACUCAGAGACGAAAGCUAGGGUAGCAAAUGGGAUUAGAUACCCCAGUAGUCCUAGCCGUAAACAAUGGAUACUAGGUGUUGAACAGAUCGACCUGUGCAGUACCAAAGCUAACGCGUUAAGUAUCCCGCCUGGGAAGUAUGCACGCAAGUGUGAAACUCAAAGGAAUUGACGGGGGCCCGCACAAGCGGUGGAGCAUGUGGUUUAAUUCGAUGCAACGCGAAGAACCUUACCAGGGUUUGACAUGAUACGAAUUUCUUUGAAAGAAGAAAGUGCCUUUUGGAACG